CCUACGGGAGGCAGCAGUGAGGAAUAUUGGUCAAUGGGCGCAAGCCUGAACCAGCCAAGUCGCGUGAAGGAUGACUGCCCUACGGGUUGUAACCUUCUUUUAUAAAGGAGUAAAGUGAGGCACGUGUGCCUUUUUGUAUUUACUUUAUGAAUAAGGAUCGGCUAACUCCGUUCCAGCCGCCGAGGUAAUACGGAGGGUCCGAGCGUUAUCCGGAUUGAUUGGGUUUAAAGGGAGCGUAGAGGGGAUGUUAAGUCAGUUGUGAAAGUCUGCGGCUCAACCGUAAAAUUGCAAUUGAUACUGGCAGACUGGAGUAUAGUCGAGGUAGGUGGAAUUCGUGGUGUAGGGGUGAAAUGCGUAGAUAUCUGGAAGAACACCAGUGGCGAAGGCGACUAUCUG
This 396-nucleotide ribosomal RNA is filed under the name uncultured bacterium. RNAcentral's name for it is "partial 16S ribosomal RNA". It matches the Rfam family "Bacterial small subunit ribosomal RNA", at positions 338 to 731 of the family's 1533-position model. The record is from RNAcentral.